UAGAAUGAGGUAAGUUGGUUUAGAUUUAGUUAUGGACUUACUAAGCUAUAUAAACUUACUCUGUUUAUUUUUUGUUUUUUGUAGUUAACGUUUUGUGAAACUAGGCAGACGAAUCAACUUCUAAGCUCACACUAUCAAGCUUCUAUCUCGGCAAAGAAGAAGAGGACGAUCAACCUAAAGACAAGUCAAAGAAAUGAAUCAAGAUCAAAGGGAAGAUGCAACAAGUAAUACUCGAAAUCUGAUCCUUAUUUUUUAUGGUAAAGAUCGAGCUAUUCAGCAGUAUGUUGUGCCUUUAUUUAGUGAACUCAAUCCAGGGAUUGUAAGACCUGAAAUUGAGUCCCCUCAAUUUGAGUUAAAACAGGUGAUGUUCCAAAUGUUGCAAACAAUGAGACAAUUCAGUGGGAUUGUAACAGCCCAUUUUCAGUAGUGUCAAAUAUGGUGGUUUUGGGACCACA
Gossypium arboreum is the source of this 455-nucleotide long non-coding RNA. RefSeq lists it as uncharacterized. NCBI's taxonomy places the organism in Eukaryota, Viridiplantae, Streptophyta, Magnoliopsida, Malvales, Malvaceae. The record is from RefSeq and is a predicted model, not a curated record. The transcript has 2 exons.